This 582-nucleotide long non-coding RNA is filed under the name Equus asinus (donkey). Its description in RNAcentral is "lncRNA (ENSEASG00005038431.1)". Lineage: Eukaryota; Metazoa; Chordata; Mammalia; Perissodactyla; Equidae. The record is from RNAcentral.
GUGGGUGGGUGCUUGGGGCGGGAGUGUUUCUCCGGCUCAUGUCAGAACACUAGGGAGCCAGGUCCGGAGAGUAGGAGGAAAGAGACACAUUUAUGCCUGUCCUCGAGGCAUAAUAUGUGUAAAAAUGCCAGACAGAGCAUAUGUCUCUAGCCCAAAUAUCCAAAGGCUUCCUAUCGCAAAGUAAAAAAAUAAAAAGGUGACCUUUGAGCAAGGACCUAAAAUAGAAGAAAACAGGCAAGUAACCAGAAUUACUAUCAUAGAAGUCACCACAUUGGAGAGGGACCUAACCUGAGCUUCCUGGAUUAAAGGAUGAAUAGGAGUUGACCAGAUAAAAAGGAAGAGAGAGAACUUCCACACCAGGCAGAGGGAGCAGCUUGUACAAAGGAGGCAUGACGUGGUUCUGGAGUUAAUGGUUCUGAUGAUGCUUUCCUGAUUCUCAGAGAGGGGCUGGGGUGAAGAGAUCCCGAGAGCCAGCUCCUGAUUGUGGUAAAUAUGAGAGUAACUGUUGGUGCCCCAAUUUUGUGGCAUUGUUCUGGGAGUCAUGCACUGCAUAAUGAUGUUUCGGACAAGGACAGACCAUAU